RNAcentral lists this ribosomal RNA (253 nucleotides) under uncultured bacterium. RNAcentral describes it as "partial 16S ribosomal RNA". It matches the Rfam family "Bacterial small subunit ribosomal RNA", at positions 524 to 776 of the family's 1533-position model. The record is from RNAcentral.
UACGUAGGGGGCAAGCGUUGUCCGGAUUCAUUGGGCGUAAAGAGCGUGUAGGCGGCCAGGUAGGUCGGUUGUGAAAACUGGAGGCUCAACCUUCAGACGUCGACCGAAACCACCUGGCUAGAGUCCGGGAGAGGAGAGUGGAAUUCCUGGUGUAGCGGUGAAAUGCGCAGAUAUCGGGAGGAACACCGGUGGCGAAGGCGGUUCUCUGGGCCUUACCUGACGCUGAGGAGCGAAAGCGUGGGGAGCGAACAGG